GACGAACGCUGGCGGCGUGCUUAACACAUGCAAGUCGAACGGUAAGGCCCUUCGGGGUACACGAGUGGCGAACGGGUGAGUAACACGUGGGUGAUCUGCCCUGCACUUCGGGAUAAGCCUGGGAAACUGGGUCUAAUACCGGAUAGGACCACUGCCUGCAUGGGGGGUGGUGGAAAGCUUUUGCGGUGUGGGAUGGGCCCGCGGCCUAUCAGCUUGUUGGUGGGGUGAUGGCCUACCAAGGCGACGACGGGUAGCCGGCCUGAGAGGGUGACCGGCCACACUGGGACUGAGAUGCGGCCCGGACUCCUACGGGAGGCAGCAGUGGGGAAUAUUGCACAAUGGGCGCAAGCCUGAUGCAGCGACGCCGCGUGAGGGAUGACGGCCUUCGGGUUGUAAACCUCUUUCAGCACCGACGAAGCGCAAGUGACGGUAGGUGCAGAAGAAGGACCGGCCAACUACGUGCCAGCCGCCGCAGUAA
Molecule: ribosomal RNA, 478 nt
Filed under: uncultured bacterium
Lineage: Bacteria
Description: partial 16S ribosomal RNA
Rfam family: Bacterial small subunit ribosomal RNA
Source: RNAcentral